GGGAAUCUAAAAUGGAGCUCAGAGUUCAUCGAUUGAUAUCUUAUCAAACUCAACCAAUCACACGAAAUGAUCUUGAUCUCUCACAAGGAAAAAGCGAAAUCACAAGCAUGAAAGAAAAACAAAUUAACCAAAAAAAUCUGCAAGUAAACAAUGAACAAUGAACAAUGAAAUCACAAGCAUGCCAAUUGCCAACAAGCCCAUUCUUCUGCAAAUUCUUUUUUCUCCUUCGUACGGAACCAAUAAAACAUGAAAGACUCCAAAAAUAAAAAAGUUGGAUUUCUGUUUGUGGGUCAAGAACAUGAAUAGAAUCCAAAAAAAUAAAAGAUAAAAAGUGGGAAUUUCUGUUAAAAUUGCUCAACAACACAAAAGCCAAAGAACUGGGAAUUAGCAAACUUGGUAUAAUCAAAAGUAUACACAAAGCAGAAUAGAACCUGUCAAAGGAAAAAUUACUUUUACAAAUGGGUAUGAACACAAUCAAGGGUAACGGAACAUAGAAGAACCCAAACAAAUGGGAGUUAUUGAGAACGGCCUACAUUACAACACAUCUCCCAAGUUCUCAAUCGAUCUCAAUCGAUACUGCAAUCAAUCUUGAAUCAAAGAAAAAGAAAAUCAAAUCCAACAACAAAAACAGACCAUUAGCAAAGAAAAAGCUACCUAUCAGCAGAAUUUUCACCAGAAGAAACCGUCAUUGUAUCACAGGUAGUUAAGAAAAUUCUCCACUAUUUUCUAUCCAGAAAUUGAAUUUCAAGAGGUGGGUGUUGGAGAGAAAAUCAGAGAGAAGAAGGCGAUGGCGGAUUUGAAUAAAAAUAAUAGAGAAUCUAUAAAUAGAAUCAAGGAACAGGGGCGAGAGAUGCGUCAGGUGUGGCCCCUGUGACGUGACAACAAUUCUUUUUUUCAUUUUAUUAGAAAUCUCCCCUUAAAUUCCCACUAUAUGUUUGUAAGAUCUCGGAACCGACAUCUCUUUUCUUUUUCUCCUUCGUUCUCAUAUUCGAACAGCUUAAAAUGAUUAUGGGAAUGAGAUUAAUUGAAAUAAAAUUUCAUUUAUAAAUGGAAUGUAUUUUUAAAAAUAAUUCUUAAAAAUUUAAAAGUUAAUUUUUUUUAGAUAAAUUGUGUUUAAAAUAAAAAUUUUAACCAUAAAUUCAAUUUAUAUAAUGCAAAUUAAAUUUAAUUCACAUCUUAUUAAAAAUAAAAAAGAAUUUUUUAAUUACAAAUAAAUUCAAAAUAAAUAAUUUUAAUAAAAUAUGAAUAUUAAUAAUAUAAUAAAAUCAUAGGUUAUAUUUUUUAUAAAUAUUAUAAAAAUAUAGACAUUAGCAUUAACUUAUUUAUUUUUUAAAAUAUAUAAUAAUAAUUCAAAAUUAAUAAUUUCUUAUGCUAUUCAUAUAAUUUUACAAAUAUUAUAAAAAUAUGGAUAUUAAGAUGUUAUAAAAUCAUAAUUAAUAUAUUUUGUUAAAAAUAAAAAAUUAUUAUUCAAAAUUAAUAAUUGUUAAUACUAUUCUAUUUUAGAUGUAUAUAAAAACAAAUAAAAAUAAUUUUUUAAAGGUAUAAAUGAGUCAAAUUAUUUAUUAUAUGCAUAUAUUUAUUAUUUAUUUACCAAAAUGAAAUUUUGGAUUAUUUUAUUUAACCUAUAAUUAAUUAAUCAAUUAUUAAAAUUUCAAAUGAUUCUUAAAAAUGAUCAGAUUUAUUAAAGAAUUUAAAAUAUUUUAUAGUCAUUAUUUAUAUUUUGAAUUUUAAAUUAUUUUUUAAAAUUAUUAAACUUAUUAAUAAAAUUAAUACAAAGUAUCAUUUUAUUUGAAAUUCACUUUCUCUAGUGAAAAAAAAAAAUCAGAAUAACAAUCCUUUAUUUUACUUUGCUUUUAAAACUUAUUUUAAAGAAUAACCAAAUUAUGGUAUAAAUUUUUAAAAACAAUUUUGUUUUAAAAUUAUAUGCUCAAAUAGGUUUUUAUUAUUUAAGCAAAAAGAAAAAAAUAUUUCAAGGAUUUUUUUUAAAUGAAAAUAAAAAAAUUAUUUCAAACUUUUUACAACAGGGAGAUUUUUUAAAUAAAAAUAAAAACAUAAAAUAGUUUAAAUUAUAUAUAUAUAUAUAUAUAUAUAUAUAUAUAUAUUUCCUUUCUGAAUAGAAAUGAAUCAUCAUUAUAACAUUAUAUUUCCAUAUGUAUAUAAUUGAAAUUACUAAAUUUAUUCUUGAAUUUAAGAGAGAAUAAUAAUAAAAACAAAAUAUUUAUUUUCAUUCUUCAUUUUUUAUACCAAACACUCCUUAAAUUAGAUGAAACGAAGAAUCUUAACCCAAUUUAAGAUGAAAACCAAAAUCUGUAUUUAUCAAUUUUUUUUAAAAUGGUUUUUAAAUAUAUAAAAUAAAUAUAAACUUUUUUAUAUAUAAGAUGCUUUAUUCUAAUUUAAAAUUUUCUGAUUUUGAAAACAAAAAAAUAUAAAGUAUAUCCAAACAAAUAUUUAGUCUUUAUUUGAUAUAUUUUUAAAAAAUAGUUUUUUUGUUUUCAGUAAAUAAAAAUAGAAAAAUAGGAUGAUUAUAAAAUAUUUUUUAAUUAUUUUCUAUCGUUUUCUAAAAACAUUUAAAAAAUAAUUAUACAAAUAAUUAAAAAUAAAUAAUUAUAAAUAAAAGUUAUUUUUAAAACAUAUUUUAAACUAUGAAAACGGUUAAAGGAUAUUUCGAGUUUUCAAGCAAACUUUUAUUUUACAAAAACAUUAAAGAAUAGUUUUUAUAAAAAAAAUUUUAAAUUAUUUUGAAAAACAAUUUCAUGGUAGAGUUUUAGCGUCUAUAAUAUAUUUUUUAUUUUUUUAUUUUUAAAUUAAAAAUUUGAUAGAACAUUUGUACAGCUAGUUUAGACUUAUCUUAUAUAUUGAAAAAUCAUUUAAAUUUUUUUUAAAGUUUGACUUAGUAAAAAUCUGAAAAAUACAUCAUUUUUUAAAAUAGUUUUUAAAAUUAUUAUUAUUUCUAAUAUAAGUCUUUGACAAAUCUUCUACCUAAUAUAAGAAUUUUUAUUUUUUAUUUUAAAAAUAGAAAAUACGUAACAAAUAAUACUCACUUGUACCAUAUGGCCUAAAUAAUUAGGCCAAGAUAGAUGGUGAAACCUUCAGGAGGACCAUCCAUCCAAUUUUAUACAUCUUUCUUAGAAGCUUACACGUUGAUUGUUGAUUGUGGGUGGGGGUGGCAAUGGGGCGGGUUUGGGAUGGGUCGUGUACCAACAUACUUAAAAGUGUGUUUGGUAGUAUCUUAGAAGUGUUUUAAGGAGAAUCAAUUAUCACGUGUUUAUCUAAAAAACACUAUAAAUGAUUUUUGAGAUUUUUAAAAACGUUUUCUAAAUUUUACCAAACACUCAUUUUACAUAAUGUUUCUAAGCUUAAAAGGUUUUCAUGCACACUUGAUUCUACAUUUUGUGAUUAUUUGAUGAAUAACUUGAUUUUUCGAUUAAAUUUUGUAAAUAAUAUCUUAAAGUCAUCUUAAUUUUAAACUCAUUAAUGAACCAAUCAUGAUUUGUUAUCAACAAAACUCACUUAAAAGAACCUUCGGCCAACACUCUUAUUUUAAAGAAAAAUUAAUGGGUACAUCAAAUGGUAGAUAGAAGGCAAGAAAUGAACCAUUACAAAAUUUAAUUGUCCUUUGAUUUUUUAGUCUCUUAAUUGUUUCCGUCCUACUUUCAUUGAUAUCCGGGAUUCAAAUAAGCCCUUAGCCCAUGUUUGGUUCCAAAAAAAUUGAAGGAAAAUGUGAGGAAAACAAAUUCGAUAGGAAAAAUAGAAGAAAACAAAAUGAAAAAAAAUAAAAAAUAAAUUUAAAAUUAAUAAAUUAUUUUUAUAUAUUAUUUCAAACUUUUUUCAUUUAUUUAAUUCUUCUAUAUAAAUAUUAAAUAAUUUAAAAAUAUACAAAUUUCUUAACAAUUUUAAUUAUAUUUAACUUUAUUUUGUAUUUUUCAUAAUAAAACCAAAUAUAAAAAAAUUAUUUUUCUUAACAUUUUUUUUCUUUAUCUAGAACCAAACAUAACCUUAAUAUUUUUUUAUAUUCUAUAAUUCCAUCCUACAUAUUUUGUUAUUAAGAUAUAAAAUUAAUUCAAAUAUAAUAAUUAUCUUUCAAAAUUAGAUGACAAUAAAUUAAAGGUUCCAGCAAUAAAUUAAAAUUUCACAAUAUGAAUGGAUAAUUUUCACAUUCUUGCAAAGCAAUGCCUUGAAAACUAUAUUUUGUAUAUGUAUAAAUGAAAUUUAUUGUGCCACAAUUAAUACAUGAACAAAAAUAAAAAAACAAAUGAAAUAAAAUAUGGUUAGCAAAAUGAAGCAACCCACAAAUAUUAACAUUGAUAGCAAAAUUUAAUUCAAAUUGGGAUCCAUAUGUUGUUUAUAUGAACUUGUAAUUAUUUUUUCUUAUUUAUUUUCAGCCUCCGCGUGGUUUCUAUCUCGUUCAGUUCUAGCUUACUCAGUCACUAAUGUGGGAACUCAACAUCCCACAUCGCUAUCGAAUGACAUGGAGUUGCAAACGACAUGAUAUAAAAGGAAAAUAAAGACACAUGAACAAAUACCCCUUUCUUGGCCUUUCGGCUAAGAUUAGGUGUGGUAGCUUUUCAUAUCAGAUUAAUAUCUGAUACGUUCCAUCGUUCCACAAGAUAUUAAAGUUAUUUUUUUAAGGGGGAGGUCCCACUGUAAUUACUUGCGGUUCGGGACCUCGCGCGUCGCUCCGGCGUUGCACUAUUGCCUGGGCCUGGCGCACCCCUCCAAGCUCCAGUCCUAAGGUGUUGUAAACUGAGUUUUCAUAACGAGGUGCAUAAGGCCCAUAGCAGGAUGGCCCGAUAUGACAAUUGGGUUCCCGGUACCAGUUCUCCUGAAAUUGUUGGAGAUGGCAAAGCCCAUUCUGGUGGUUCCAUGGAUUUGUGUAAACUUGUCUGGGUUGUGAGGGAAAGGUUUGUUGGGUUUGGGGACAGAGGAAUGUAGAUUGAAUGGUGUGAGAUCAAGGCAUGAGUUGAGAUGCUUAGUGUUUGGCUCAGUUGGAUCAUUGUUACUUGGAACCUUCUGAGAUAGUACAAAUCUCAAUUUUAUAUAUGGUACCAAAUGUCUUAUUUUAUCCUAUAUUAUAAUAGAAGAUUAAAGCAAUUUCAAGGGAGGGCUAAGUGCCCAAAACCCAAUUAGAUUUCACAUGGGCAUAAUUGUUCCUUAUUUAAGUUUAGUAAUACUCUCAGUUGAGUAAUGUUCUAUUUGUGUAACUAUGCAAAUAGUAGUUUUAAGCGGCAGCUGUUGCUCCUGGAGCUCCCUUCUGAUCAAGCUCUGCCAAAGCCGCCCACAAUUUGGGAUCAUCAUAAUCACGUAUGAGAAAGACGGGUUUUGCUUCCAUCAACAAGCUUUCAGGAUUCCUGGUAGUUAAACCAACAACAGGCAUUUCGGCAGCCACCCCAGCCUUAAUCCCCGAAACAGAAUCCUAACCAAGCAAAAAAAGUGACGGUAAUUCAGUUUACUUGUUUGAAUUUUGAACAACUAGCAUGAUAGGUGAAGAAAGAAAACCUCGAAGAUGAAAGUGUGAUCCUUCGACACUUGGAGGACUUCAAGAGCCUUCAAGUAGGGGUCUGGAAAUGGUUUGGCACGAUCACAUUCACUGCCGACAACAACUGCAUGGAAGAAAUCAGAGAGGCCGAGAAGUGAGAUCAUGAGUUCAGCAUUUGGUCUUGGAGCAUUAGAAACUGCAGCCCGUUUCAAGCCUCGAUCUUCAAUCCAUUUCCUUAUCUUGUGUAGGCCAUUUAAGGGCUUCACUUGGUCUUUCGCCAAUCUGUUGUUCAAAUAAGGAAAUCAUGUGUUGGCAUUUUGGAAAUUUCACCAAAGUGAGGGAAAAUGGAGAAGAUGGGAGUUUUACUUUCGGAACAAAACUUCCUUAUCAUCCGUGAAUUUUAAGCCCUUCUCAAGGUCCCAGUUAGGGAAGAGGCCCCUAGCAAUAUCAUCAUUAUGUUUGCCAGCAAUCUUCUCAAUGAAGAAUUCCUCCGUUAUUGGAACUCCGCCAUUAUAGUCUAUCUGUUAAAAAUGUCAGUAUCUCUCAUAAGCUCAUAAUAAUUGGUCCCAUGGGCUUAUAGCACAUAGAGUAUGUUUGUAAUUCAUAUCCUUGGUUUUCUAGAGAGAUGAUAGAGCAAUUGCAUGCCAAUAUGCAUUGUUCAUGAUGUGGUGAUAUGACAUCAACAUUAUGAAUCAAAGGUAACAAAAUUUCCUUCUAGGUGGUGAAAGAAAAACCUACCUGCAGAAGCAAUUCUCGGAAGGCAUAGUAGUGCAGAGGAUCUGAAUCGCAUAGAGUUCCAUCAAUAUCAAAUAGGACCGCUUCGAGAGGAGCAAGUCCAGAUAGAGAAUAUUUGCUGCUUCCACAAAAUAAAGAAAAAUCAAGUUACAAAAUUACUCAAUGUGAACAAUGAAACCAAGACUUAUAUGAGAGGGGCUCUUUAUCUAAACCAUGUCCCGGUCCCAUUUCCCUGUCUUCAGUUGCUUUCAGAUUACUGGAAGAUUUUUGAGAAUGUUUAGGAAAAAAAAAAAGGGAAAAAAGAGCAUGUGCAUUAUACGGCUAUAACCAAUAAAACUAAUUUCUUUUUUGGGCUGUAAAUUUAUCCAAUGAAAUCCAUGGGCUAAUCAAAUGGUGGGUUUUGAUCAAAUUUUUGUGCUGAUUUGGAUGGCUCAAAAGAUCAUGAGAUGGCCAGAGAUUAGAUCCAUGCAACAGAAAAACAACAGUAAGGAUUCAUUUCAACUCAAUGUGGAAAAAGCAGUACAUAAUAUCCAAGUUUAACUACAAAAACAGCAUAGUUCAAACUUCAAUCAAAACUUGAAACUUGGGCAGUGUCCUUCAAUUUGAGAGUGCAUUAAACAUGGUAAAAAUAAUAACUAUGGCAUUUACUUGUUGAAUUUGUCCUAAUUCUAGCACUUAUUUCAGCAUACAUUUGGUAAACACAAAUAUGAAGUUGUCUGCAAAAUAAAUCAAAUAACAUUCUCUUCAACAGGGAUUGUGCUAAGAUACAUCAAAUAUACUUCCACAUAAGAAAGUGACAACAUCCAUAAAGGCCAUAACUACUCGCAAUUAAGCAUGGGCAUAAAGCUGAUACUUCCAUGAAAUAAAGUUUGUAUGCACACUUUUGGAGGAAGAGAUUGUUUUGGGCAUGGGAGAAAUGGUAUAUUUCUCCCAUGUACAGUCCAUCUUCCGGUACCUUUUUAUUAGCAUUUUGGUGAAAAUGUAAUUUGACAGUUGUUUUCAAAAAAUACAUUACUAUUACGGAAGAGUUCAAUUAGAAUUUUUAAGACCCUACAUCUUAAGUAUUCAUGCCUAAUGUCCAAUGCCCAAGUGUGUUUUCGUAAGGGGAUCUGUUUGCUCAUGCCUCUGGAGCUAAUAAAGUGGGUUCAUCGACAUCCGAAAGACGGAUAGGACAAGUGCUAUUAUUCCCCUCCAUACGGAUACACAAAGAAUACACUAUUUUAUAGCUUGAUCAAUGAAGCACAGAGAAUUCUUGCAACAAAUUGACUUGGGAACAUAAUGAAAGAAUAGUGGAAGAACCUGCAUGGGGAAUACACCUAAAAUCUCAUGAAGAAAAGAAGUGCAUAUUGAGAAAAGAAAAAAGAAAACAUCUCUACAAAGUACAAACAUGGUUUUCAAUGGCAUCAGUCAUGCUAGGAAGGGAACAAGGCAAGCCACAGAUUACUGAUAUACUACAAUUUUGUUCUUUGGAUGAGUGUGUGGGAGAUGGGUAUAAAAGAAACUAUGACGGUGAUAGAUACAAAUAACCAGGAAAGAUGAAUAUCAAGAAAACAAAAUCUUAGAGAAAGGGAUUGGGUCUCACUGCAACAAACAAUGCCGGCUAAGUCUUAGGGUCUUUGAGAAUUUGGAAGUAUAUCUGUUCAUAUAUCGAGACACUUCCGAAUCUUAUGACAAAAACUAUAUCCUAGAGUUGAGGAAUUAUUCAAGGUUGACUAAAUCAAUCCCAUUGAAAGACAUUAAUUUGAAGGGAUGAGAAAGUAGAAUGGUAUUACGGAUCAAAAUUGUAGACAGGAAAAAACAAUCAAGACAGACAUUGAUUACUUUAUUACCAACACAUAAAAUUUGCAUGUUAGGACAGAUUACAAAAUAAUAUUUUCAGAUCUUGAUCAGAAAUCAAAGUUGGCCUGUGGCUUCUGCACAUUACUUAAUGGAAAAACUAAUAAUAUCUUAUGUUUCAUUUAUUCAAUUAAUACACCCAUCAAGGCCGAUUAGGGAAUCUACAAUGGAGCUCAGAGUUCAUAGAUGGAGAUCUUAUCAAACUCAACCAAUCAUAUGAAAUGAUUUUCAUCUCUCACGAGGAAAAAGUGAAAUCACAACCAUGAAAGAAAAACAAAUGAACAAAGAAAUCUGCAAGUAAACAAUGAACAAUCAAAAUGAAAUCACAAGCAUCAACAAGCCCAUUCUACUGCAAAUUCUUUUUUCUCUUGGUACGGAAACAAUAAAACAUGAAAGACUACAAAAAUAAAAAGUUGGAUUUCUGUUUGUGGGUCAAGAACAUAAAUAUAAUCCAAAAAAAAACAUGGGAAUUUCUGCUGAAAUUGCUCAACAACACAAAAGCCAAAGAACUGGGAAUUUGCAAACUUGGGUAUCAUCAAAAUUACACACAAAACAAAAUAGGACCUACAAAAGGAAAAGUUACUUCUACAAAUGGGUAUGAACACAAGCAAGUGAAGUGCAACAUAGAACAAACACAUGGGAGUUCUUGAGUAGCUGAAAGGCCUACAUUACAACACAUCUCCCAAAUUCUCAACCAAUCUGAAGAAAUAAGAACAACCCACAUAACUACUGCAAUCAAUCUUGAAGCAAAGAAAAAGAAAAUCAAAUUCAACAACAAAAACAGACCAUUAGCAAAGAAAAAAGCUACCUAUCAGCAGAGUUUUCACCAGAAGAAACCGUCAUUGUAUCACAGGUAGUUAGGAAAAUUUUCCACUAUCUUCGAUCCGGAAAUUGAAUUUCAAGAGGUGGGUAUUGGAGAGAAAAUCACAGAGAAGGCGAUGGCGAAUGUGAAUAAAAAUAAUAGAGAAUCUAUAAAUGGAAUCAAGGAACAAGCGCGAGAGAUGCGUCAGGUGGUGGCUUCUUUGGCUUGACAGCACUCCCUUUUUUGACCU
Molecule: long non-coding RNA, 9099 nt
Filed under: Vitis vinifera (wine grape)
Lineage: Eukaryota; Viridiplantae; Streptophyta; Magnoliopsida; Vitales; Vitaceae
Description: long non-coding RNA (VVIN_LNC000427)
Rfam family: U2 spliceosomal RNA (bases 4522-4716)
Source: RNAcentral